This 541-nucleotide ribosomal RNA is filed under the name uncultured bacterium. RNAcentral's name for it is "partial 16S ribosomal RNA". It matches the Rfam family "Bacterial small subunit ribosomal RNA", at positions 355 to 888 of the family's 1533-position model. The record is from RNAcentral.
UGGGGAAUUUUGGACAAUGGGCGAAAGCCUGAUCCAGCAAUGCCGCGUGUGUGAAGAAGGCCUUCGGGUUGUAAAGCACUUUUGUCCGGAAAGAAAUCCUUGGCUCUAAUACAGUCGGGGGAUGACGGUACCGGAAGAAUAAGCACCGGCUAACUACGUGCCAGCAGCCGCGGUAAUACGUAGGGUGCAAGCGUUAAUCGGAAUUACUGGGCGUAAAGCGUGCGCAGGCGGUUUGCUAAGACCGAUGUGAAAUCCCCGGGCUCAACCUGGGAACUGCAUUGGUGACUGGCAGGCUAGAGUAUGGCAGAGGGGGGUAGAAUUCCACGUGUAGCAGUGAAAUGCGUAGAGAUGUGGAGGAAUACCGAUGGCGAAGGCAGCCCCCUGGGCCAAUACUGACGCUCAUGCACGAAAGCGUGGGGAGCAAACAGGAUUAGAUACCCUGGUAGUCCACGCCCUAAACGAUGUCAACUAGUUGUUGGGGACUUCAUUUCCUUAGUAACGUAGCUAACGCGUGAAGUUGACCGCCUGGGGAGUACGGUCG